AGUAAAGUCAGCUAACCAAGCUCUUGGGCCCAUACCCCAAAAAUGUCGGUUUAACCCCCUCCUCUACUA
RNAcentral lists this transfer RNA (69 nucleotides) under Carettochelys insculpta (pitted-shelled turtle). RNAcentral's name for it is "tRNA-Met". The record is from RNAcentral. Lineage: Eukaryota; Metazoa; Chordata; Testudines; Carettochelyidae.